AUGAAGGUCUUAGGAUUGUAAAAUUCUUUCACCGGGGACGAUAAUGACGGUACCCGGAGAAGAAGCCCCGGCUAACUUCGUGCCAGCAGCCGCGGUAAUACGAAGGGGGCUAGCGUUGCUCGGAAUUACUGGGCGUAAAGGGAGCGUAGGCGGACUGUUUAGUCAGAGGUGAAAGCCCAGGGCUCAACCUUGGAAUUGCCUUUGAUACUGGCAGUCUUGAGUACGGAAGAGGUAUGUGGAACUCCGAGUGUAGAGGUGAAAUUCGUAGAUAUUCGGAAGAACACCAGUGGCGAAGGCGACAUACUGGUCCGUUACUGACGCUGAGGCUCGAAAGCGUGGGGAGCAAACAGGAUUAGAUACCCUGGUAGUCCACGCCGUAAACGAUGAGUGCUAGUUGUCGGCAUGCAUGCAUGUCGGUGACGCAGCUAACGCAUUAAGCACUCCGCCUGGGGAG
This 454-nucleotide ribosomal RNA is filed under the name Caulobacter sp. RNAcentral describes it as "bacterial SSU rRNA". It matches the Rfam family "Bacterial small subunit ribosomal RNA", at positions 408 to 880 of the family's 1533-position model. The record is from RNAcentral. Lineage: Bacteria; Pseudomonadati; Pseudomonadota; Alphaproteobacteria; Caulobacterales; Caulobacteraceae.